AGUGAACGCUGGCGGCGUGCUUAACACAUGCAAGUCGAACGGAUCAAAGUAGCUUGCUAUUUUGGUUAGUGGCGCACGGGUGAGUAAUGUAUAGCUAACCUGCCCUUUAGUGGGGGACAACAGUUGGAAACGACUGCUAAUACCCCAUACUCCUUCUUGCCAUAAGGUGAGUCGGGAAAGAUUUAUUGCUAAAGGAUGGGGCUUUAUUGUAUCAGCUAGUUGGUGAGGUAAUGGCUCACCAAGGCUAUGACGCAUACCUGGUCUGAGAGGAUGAUCAGGCACACUGGAACUGAGACACGGUCCAGACUCCUACGGGAGGCAGCAGUGGGGAAUAUUGCACAAUGGAGGAAACUCUGAUGCAGCAACGCCGCGUGGAGGAUGACGCAUUUCGGUGUGUAAACUCCUUUUAUAAGGGAAGAUAAUGACGGUACCUUAUGAAUAAGCACCGGCUAACUCCGUGCCAGCCGCCGCAGUAA
Molecule: ribosomal RNA, 476 nt
Filed under: uncultured bacterium
Lineage: Bacteria
Description: partial 16S ribosomal RNA
Rfam family: Bacterial small subunit ribosomal RNA
Source: RNAcentral